RNAcentral lists this ribosomal RNA (253 nucleotides) under uncultured bacterium. RNAcentral's name for it is "partial 16S ribosomal RNA". It matches the Rfam family "Bacterial small subunit ribosomal RNA", at positions 524 to 776 of the family's 1533-position model. The record is from RNAcentral.
UACGGAGGGUGCAAGCGUUGUCCGGAAUCACUGGGCGUAAAGGGCGCGUAGGCGGCUCAUGAAGGCUGUAGUGAAAGCCCUGGGCUCAACCUGGGAAUUGCGCUUGGGACGGGUUGGCUUGAGAUCGGGAGAGGAGAGUGGAAUUCCCAGUGUAGAGGUGAAAUUCGUAGAUAUUGGGAAGAACACCGGUGGCGAAGGCGGCUCUCUGGACCGACACUGACGCUGAGGCGCGAAAGCGUGGGGAGCAAACAGG